UAAACGGCCCUUUUUAGGGCCAUCUAUAUAUAACAGAAAAGGUCU
RNAcentral lists this non-coding RNA (45 nucleotides) under Mytilus galloprovincialis (Mediterranean mussel). It matches the Rfam family "Histone 3' UTR stem-loop". Rfam says of the family: The mRNAs of metazoan histone genes lack a poly-A tail. 3' end processing occurs at a site between a highly conserved stem-loop (modelled by this family) and a purine rich region around 20 nts downstream (the histone downstream element, or HDE). The record is from RNAcentral. Lineage: Eukaryota; Metazoa; Mollusca; Bivalvia; Mytilida; Mytilidae.